This is a long non-coding RNA of Xiphophorus couchianus (Monterrey platyfish), 296 nucleotides long. RefSeq lists it as uncharacterized. The record is from RefSeq and is a predicted model, not a curated record. NCBI's taxonomy places the organism in Eukaryota, Metazoa, Chordata, Actinopteri, Cyprinodontiformes, Poeciliidae. The transcript is spliced from 2 exons.
UCUCCUGCCUCCAGGUGUUUUCCUCCUGGCUCCUCUACAUCUGCUGAUCCUGAGCCUACCUGUCCGCCCUCCGACGUACUCCCGUUGCCUCCUGGAUCCCCGCUGUCAGACAAGACGACCACCUGGAACCUCUGAGAACAAACCCCGGACGCUGCAGUUACCCUCCCACUUCUCUAACCUGCCGAUCACAAUGAACUGUUUGAUUCCCAGAACCAGCCUCUCUCCCUGGACCCGACCCGAGCCAACUAUUCCUGCCAGCAGUGUUUUUCAAUAAAUUUAUCUUUUAUUUCACAUUG